RNAcentral lists this ribosomal RNA (54 nucleotides) under Triticum aestivum (bread wheat). Its description in RNAcentral is "partial small subunit ribosomal RNA". Lineage: Eukaryota; Viridiplantae; Streptophyta; Magnoliopsida; Poales; Poaceae. The record is from RNAcentral.
AUGAAGACCUUUCUCAUCCUUGCCCUCGUGGCGACCACCGCCACAACUGCAGUU